CUGCCCUUUAAAGUAUUACAAACAAGCAGUCUGCCAGGCCGGAUACCAUGUGCAUUUGAGUCAUGAUUUAAUAGAUAAAACAAGUUUCAUUGAAUAAAUGUAAUCACUUUUGUGCAGUCUGUUAAACGGAUGUUUCGUAGAUCUCUUUUAGUAUAACCGUAGAACCAGUGGACAGUUAUUCGCAGUUUACGUGAACGACGUACUUUGGAAUGGGCAGCAUAGUCAGUUUCAUAGCGACAUGGUUUUCUGGGCGUAUUCAUGGCCCACAGCUUCGCAGAAGACAGGGCAGCAUAGUCAGUUUCAUAGCGACAUGGUUUUCUGGGCGUAUUCAUGGCACACAGCUUCGCAGAAGACAGGCUUUAGACAACAGGCACAACAGGCUCUGGAAUAUCAUCUUUGACAACUAUUAU
Dreissena polymorpha is the source of this 410-nucleotide long non-coding RNA. RefSeq lists it as uncharacterized. The record is from RefSeq and is a predicted model, not a curated record. Lineage: Eukaryota; Metazoa; Mollusca; Bivalvia; Myida; Dreissenidae. The transcript has 5 exons.